This 433-nucleotide ribosomal RNA is filed under the name uncultured bacterium. RNAcentral describes it as "partial 16S ribosomal RNA". It matches the Rfam family "Bacterial small subunit ribosomal RNA", at positions 29 to 507 of the family's 1533-position model. The record is from RNAcentral.
AGCGAACGCUGGCGGCAGGCUUAACACAUGCAAGUCGAGCGGGCCCUUCGGGGUCAGCGGCAGACGGGUGAGUAACGCGUGGGAACGUGCCCUUCGGUUCGGAAUAACUCAGGGAAACUUGAGCUAAUACCGGAUACGCCCUUAUGGGGCAUGGUUUACUGCCGAAGGAUCGGCCCGCGUCUGAUUAGCUAGUUGGUGAGGUUAUGGCCCACCAAGGCGACGAUCAGUAGCUGGUCUGAGAGGAUGAUCAGCCACACUGGGACUGAGACACGGCCCAGACUCCUACGGGAGGCAGCAGUGGGUAAUAUUGGACAAUGGGGGCAACCCUGGUCCAGCCAUGCCGCGUGAGUGAUGACGGCCUUAGGGUUGUAAAGCUCUUUUCUCCGGGACGAUAAUGACGGUACCGGGGGAAUAAGCCCCGGCUAACUUCGUG